This 497-nucleotide ribosomal RNA is filed under the name uncultured bacterium. RNAcentral describes it as "partial 16S ribosomal RNA". It matches the Rfam family "Bacterial small subunit ribosomal RNA", at positions 28 to 507 of the family's 1533-position model. The record is from RNAcentral.
GAUGAACGCUGGCGGCGUGCCUAAUACAUGCAAGUCGAGCGAACAGAUGAGGAGCUUGCUCCUCUGACGUUAGCGGCGGACGGGUGAGUAACACGUGGAUAACCUACCUAUAAGACUGGGAUAACUUCGGGAAACCGGAGCUAAUACCGGAUAAUAUAUUGAACCGCAUGGUUCAAUAGUGAAAGACGGUUUUGCUGUCACUUAUAGAUGGAUCCGCGCCGCAUUAGCUAGUUGGUAAGGUAACGGCUUACCAAGGCAACGAUGCGUAGCCGACCUGAGAGGGUGAUCGGCCACACUGGAACGGAAACACGGUCCAGACUCCUACGGGAGGGAGCAGUAGGGAAUCUUCCGCAAUGGGCGGAAGCUUGACGGAGCAACGCCGCGUGAGUGAUGAAGGUCUUCGGAUCGUAAAACUCUGUUAUUAGGGAAGAACAAAUGUGUAAGUAACUAUGCACGUCUUGACGGUACCUAAUCAGAAAGCCACGGCUAACUACGUG